RNAcentral lists this ribosomal RNA (626 nucleotides) under uncultured Lachnospiraceae bacterium. RNAcentral describes it as "bacterial SSU rRNA". It matches the Rfam family "Bacterial small subunit ribosomal RNA", at positions 81 to 725 of the family's 1533-position model. The record is from RNAcentral. Lineage: Bacteria; Bacillati; Bacillota; Clostridia; Lachnospirales; Lachnospiraceae.
UUGAUCUGUUUCUAGUGGCGGACGGGUGAGUAACGCGUGGGUAACCUGCCUUAUACAGGGGGAUAACAACCAGAAAUGGUUGCUAAUACCGCAUAAGCGCACAGGACCGCAUGGUCCGGUGUGAAAAACUCCGGUGGUAUAAGAUGGACCCGCGUUGGAUUAGCUAGUUGGCAGGGUAACGGCCUACCAAGGCGACGAUCCAUAGCCGGCCUGAGAGGGUGAACGGCCACAUUGGGACUGAGACACGGCCCAGACUCCUACGGGAGGCAGCAGUGGGGAAUAUUGCACAAUGGGGGAAACCCUGAUGCAGCGACGCCGCGUGAAGGAAGAAGUAUCUCGGUAUGUAAACUUCUAUCAGCAGGGAAGAUAGUGACGGUACCUGACUAAGAAGCCCCGGCUAACUACGUGCCAGCAGCCGCGGUAAUACGUAGGGGGCAAGCGUUAUCCGGAUUUACUGGGUGUAAAGGGAGCGUAGACGGACUGGCAAGUCUGAUGUGAAAGGCGGGGGCUCAACCCCUGGACUGCAUUGGAAACUGUUAGUCUUGAGUGCCGGAGAGGUAAGCGGAAUUCCUAGUGUAGCGGUGAAAUGCGUAGAUAUUAGGAGGAACACCAGUGGCGAAGGCGGC